CAAAGGCUAGACUGGGAUGUGCCAUGGCAGGUGAAAAUUUAUCCACAUUAUCAUUAAUGAUAGAGGAUGUUAUGAGAAUAAGACUUGUAGAACAGUUGAGUUUUGUAUACAGAUGUUUACUACAUAUCUUGGAGCUCUGAUUAUGUGUUCAGUUGUGCUGGAGAUGAUGUGUAACAUGGUGUCUGUUUUGUUUUGGGAACAUUCUUUCAAAUUAGACUUGUUGUCAUGCAGGAUUUUAAUAUAAUGUACUGUAUAAGACAGUGACUUUGGAAAAGUUUGGUUGUCAAAAAUAACAUUAGUUAUUGUCAUACUGAGUAAGAGUAAUUUCCUCAUGUGUUGUUAAAUUUGGUUUGAGUUGCCCUAUCAAAGAUAGACUACAAUGCAUUAUGGAUGUGUUCAGGAGCAGUAAAAGCUACACUGUAAAACCCAGUGGUGCUUCUUACUAAAAAGAAGUUAGUUAUUUGUACUCAUUUCAGCUAAAUAGUAAGAGUAACUUUUAUAAAUUGAGUUGAGUAGAUCCAAAACAAACAGUUUCAUUUUCUAAAUCAUUUACAAUAAGUACACAUAUGCUUAUCAUUUAUUUUGAGAAUUGUUGCUUUGAACUGUUCAAGUUGUGAUCACUGUGAUGACUGGGACUAUUUUUCCUGGACUUAUCGGCCAUUAGAGGAAAGUUUCAACAAAGAAUUUUAGCAACUUCAGUGUGAAAAUUACGAGGUAAGCCUUUUUUCUUUAAUUCUAUUAAAUGUUUAUAUAGAACUUGAAGGUGAAUUGAUUGAACUAUUUUGUUAAUUUGCAGAAAAAUGGGCCAUGCUAGCCCAGCUGCCGCCUAGCAUUGCUUAAAGUCGGCCUGGAUAAAUUUAAAAUAUAGCGAUUGGCGGCUUAUAUGGGAAAAUAGUAUUUCAAAACUACAUAGCAUACAACAUCAUGGUAAAAUAGAGUUUAAUCAUUUUAACUACAGUUUUUCACUUCUACACCCAGCAUAUGAUGCAAUAUUUUUUUCAUGUUUUUUGCUAACUCUCCUCAGCUCUACUGCUAAUUUCACUGGAUUACCAGUCAGCAUGGCUGUAUAUCUUUCUCAGCUGAUUCGAGUUUACACAAAGAAGAAAACUGGAGGAGCUGAUGAAAAUAUGGACCAUAUUUAUGCAAAAUAGGACAAAAACCACAUGCAUGCAAAAAGAGGAGCAUCCCUGGCUGGCCUUUUCAAUUCCCUUAUUCCCUUCAGGAAUUUUCAAAAUAUGCAAGGAUAUAAAGGAGUCCUAUGAAGAUGCAGUUGCUAUGGUGGCUGAUGUGGAUGAAGAAGAGGAUCCUGCAGGAGUUCCUUUCUCACCACACCAGAUGUUUUUUGUACUUGAGGAUCAAGUUGGAAAUACUUAUCACUUAUGAACAGACACACUGGUGUGUUUGUUUGGGCUAAUCUAUGUUGUGCAUCUGAGCUAUCCUGGAAAGUGUUGUAGAUUUUUUGAGUUCAUUCAUUUAGUGUUGCAUUAUUACUGUUGCCAUGGAUAAAUGUUGAAUCCUUGUAGUUCAGCUAUAUUUGUAUUUGCUGUGGUGUACAUCAAUAUAUCAGAAUAUUGUGAACAAGUAAAAUAAUAAUCAAAAUGCAUCUUCUGUGAUUGCUAUGACUCAUGACAAAUAAAAUAAUUUGCUUUUAAAAGAUUGAAAUUAUUCUGACUUUGUACAGCAUUCUAAUUUAUUGAUGUAAACCUAAAUCAAUGUUUCUAAAAGCAGUUAGCAAUUUGAAUAAAAUUACAAAUAACUAAGUACCUUUAAGGUGUCAGCUUUAAAAGACCAAUCUUUGAUAUUUGAUAAUGGCUUUUAUAGUCAUGAUUUAUGUUUGAAGCUACAGUUUUGAGUUAAUAAAAACUGAAUGG
Long non-coding RNA from Xiphophorus hellerii (green swordtail), 1871 nucleotides. RefSeq lists it as uncharacterized. NCBI's taxonomy places the organism in Eukaryota, Metazoa, Chordata, Actinopteri, Cyprinodontiformes, Poeciliidae. The transcript has 3 exons. The record is from RefSeq and is a predicted model, not a curated record.